GUGGCUGUGGCUCAGCGGGAGAGUGCUCGCCUCACACUUGUGAGACCCUGGUGUUCAAGCCUCAGCACCACA
RNAcentral lists this transfer RNA (72 nucleotides) under Marmota monax (woodchuck). Its description in RNAcentral is "tRNA.Val". Lineage: Eukaryota; Metazoa; Chordata; Mammalia; Rodentia; Sciuridae. The record is from RNAcentral.